This 462-nucleotide ribosomal RNA is filed under the name uncultured bacterium. RNAcentral describes it as "partial 16S ribosomal RNA". It matches the Rfam family "Bacterial small subunit ribosomal RNA", at positions 28 to 507 of the family's 1533-position model. The record is from RNAcentral.
GACGAACGCUGGCGGCGUGCUUAACACAUGCAAGUCGAGCGGAAAGGCCCUUCGGGGUACUCGAGCGGCGAACGGGUGAGUAACACGUGAGUAACCUGCCCCAGACUUUGGGAUAACCCUCGGAAACGGGGGCUAUUACCGGUAAGAACCAGCUUCGCCAUGGGUUCGGUGGGAAAGUUUUUUCGGUUUGGGAUGGCCUCGCGGCCUAUCAGCUUGUUGGUGGGGUGAUGGCCUACCAAGGCGACGACGGGUAGCCGGCCUGAGAGGGCGACCGGCCACACUGGGACUGAGACACGGCCCAGACUCCUACGGGAGGCAGCAGUGGGGAAUAUUGCACAAUGGGCGGAAGCCUGAUGCAGCGACGCCGCGUGAGGGAUGACGGCCUUCGGGUUGUAAACCUCUUUCAGCAGGGACGAAGCGUAAGUGACGGUACCUGCAGAAGAAGCGCCGGCCAACUACGUG